UGGGAGGAUUUCCGAGUGGUUAAAGGAAUCUGACUGUAAAUCAGACGGCUCUGCCUUCGCAGGUUCGAAUCCUGCUCCUCCCACCU
RNAcentral lists this transfer RNA (86 nucleotides) under Synechococcus phage S-PM2. RNAcentral's name for it is "tRNA3-Tyr;". It matches the Rfam family "tRNA". Rfam says of the family: Transfer RNA (tRNA) molecules are approximately 80 nucleotides in length. Their secondary structure includes four short double-helical elements and three loops (D, anti-codon, and T loops). Lineage: Duplodnaviria; Heunggongvirae; Uroviricota; Caudoviricetes; Pantevenvirales; Kyanoviridae. The record is from RNAcentral.